AUACUGAAAACACCGGUUCUCAUUUGAUCACCAAAGUUAAGCAGCAUUGAGCUUGGACAGUACUUAGAUGGGGAACUGCUUGGAAAUACUGGGUACUGUAA
Molecule: non-coding RNA, 101 nt
Organism: Acanthosepion pharaonis
Lineage: Eukaryota; Metazoa; Mollusca; Cephalopoda; Sepiida; Sepiidae
Source: the annotation of a GenBank genome assembly